Molecule: long non-coding RNA, 6459 nt
Organism: Alligator mississippiensis (American alligator)
Lineage: Eukaryota; Metazoa; Chordata; Crocodylia; Alligatoridae
Exons: 2
Source: RefSeq, a predicted model, not a curated record
CGGCCCGGCAGCGCGGCCAGACAGGCCGUGCCUCCCUCCCUCCCUCCGCCACCCCCGGCCUGCGCCGCGCGGGGGGCCCGGCCCCGGGGGUAGGGGUGGGGGUGGACAUGGGUCCUGCCCCCUCCCCUUCUUCGUCGUGGGGGGGCUCGUGGGUCCCGGGGUGCAGCUGCACCCUCCGGGCAGACACAGGGCGCCACAGCGGCAGCCGUCGGGGGAAACCGACCCGCACCCUCCACCGGCCUCCUGGCACCUGCCUGCGACGGGCCUGGCAGCUGCUGCUUGCUCCAGAGGCAGAGCCCUGCCCGCCCCGCCUGCACGAAGGGGCUUUGCCUUUUGGCUCGGAUCGGCCUCUCGUGGGCUGAGAGAAAGCGGGGGCCUCCGAACCCCGAGACCCCCACUCGGGCCCACGCAGGACGCCUGCUCGUGGAUUCGGGAGCGCUGAGGUCCCCGGGUUGACAGCCGGGAGGGAGGAUGCCGGCCGGUUGUAGCGCCCUACCUGGUGUUUGGACUGAUUGAUUUCACCCUCCUCAUUCGUAGGUUUCCUGAGGUUGGCCGUACCUUGGAAGGAACUGAGUUAUCCCAUUUGCCUUGCUGAUCUCUUUGGGCUUGGAAAAAUAGAGGUGGCGUCUUCCCAGUGCCAUGAAAACAAGUCCUCAUUCAUGGUAUGCUGUGCUGUUCUGUGACUUCUCUUUAUUAUGUGAGGAAUAAAAUAGCUAACAAUAUUACCCUUUUAAAACUGCCAUCGCUUGGCCUCUGAGUUAACUCCUCCCAAAGGUGAGUAAGACUGUUCACCUUUCUCAGGGCUCUCUGCAAACUCAACCAUGAUAUAGUUAUGGUGGGUUUAUAUUUCUAAAGUUGUCUUCACGGCUAUAACUAAUAAAGAAUUAUUUUAUUUUUAAAUUAAAGCUGCAGUUCUAGUAAAGAAGAAACAAAUGAUAAAAGCUUCUAUCUCAGGUAAGUGCUGGUGCAGUGUUUGGGUACAUAGCAACUGUUAGCAUGCCCUGCAAGUAGCCACAAGUUAAAUAUGCAUGCAAUCACAAAAAAAUGCCAAUUAAAAUUUUUCAUAUCACAUCGUACCAUCACAAAGUUUGAUUAUGCUAUUUACAAAAAGCUAUUUUUAGGAAAAUUUUCAGGGGUUUAUAUAAAACUCUACUUUUAUUUUUUAAAUCUCUCAAUAUGAAUAAUCAAGGUGCCUUGCUUAAUAAAGCCAACUGUAUAAGAUUUUGAGGGAGAGAAAAGAAUAUAGCGAAUACAUUUUAAAAACCUGAACAUAACUUAAAAUAGCCUCUUAUAUGUUAAAAUCAUGACUAUUUUAUCUAAAUAUCUUAGCUAGAGAAAAAAAGCAAGAAUUUCCCCAUCCACUAGAAUAGAGAGGUUGCAGGGUAUUAAAUCCAACUCUUAUUCAGCACAGACAAAUAUUAUUUGAAUGGGAAAGUGAAUAUGAGAUGGGUAGAAAGAAACAUUCCUUGGAUAGGUUAUUUUCAAUUUAUUUUUAAAUGGGGGGAGGAGGGGCUUCAAAGCUGCUCACAGGCUUAUAUUGGUAGUUGUCAUGGGGAAAUAAAAUACAGAGUGUAGAUGAUGUGGGCAAAGAUGUAUGAUAAAUGUAGGAAAAUAUUACCACUGUAUUUGAGGUGUGCAGAUACAUUUGUGCAUAUGCAGCAAAAGAGGGAGUUUGUUGAAGAGAUUCAAUCAGAAGAAACUUGCCUGGAUGUAGAAGUAGUUGUAAAACUACAGGAAGUCUGGAAGAGCUAAGAGGAGGGAUUCACAUGUGCCUUUUGAGCCUAGACAAGGGCACUAACAUUUUAUUUAAAGUGUGUUCAUUAUCAUAUAGUGACAAUGUAUCAUUCUAAGGUUCUCAAAAUAUAGUUUGGAGAACACUUGGACAACACUGCAGCUGUUCUUCAAAAUAACUUCUCAAAAUGUCCACCAGAGGGUGCCAGGCCAUAAACUUACUGCCACAACAGUAUUCAACAAACAGGCUGUAAUUUUAGAAGGCAUAGUGCUUUCUGGCCUUGAUGCAAUGGAUUUGUAUAGGUGUGCUUGGAUAAAGCAGAUCUCUUUCAGGCAGCAGAAAAUUCCCUGCAGUGCAGGAAGCUCUACAGUGGCUACUGCACACCUCAUAUAUACUUCCACAGCUGAGGACACAUCUGAGUCUGAUAUCCCCAGUCCUUUUGCUACUCUAUCAGUCUCUAACCUUAAAUUGUGCCGGAGAGUAAUCUGGUCAGAGGCUUAGAGAAGCAGUGACUUAAAGUCAUAUUUGCAUCACCCCCUGGAAUCCUGAAACAAGCACAGUUUAUUCAUACUGGAGGAUCUGGUUUAACAGCUGAUUAAAGUGCCAUUACUGGAUAAUGCCUUAGCUAUACUUAUAGGCAAACUGGAUUUACAUGUAUGUUCAGAGAUGGCAAAAAGCCACAUUGCAGCACAUAUUGCUCUGGGUUCAGUCUCUGUUAGUCCAAGACUUGUGAUAAGCAGAAAACAGUUCUCCCAGCUAAACUAUGUCUCAGCUACAGUAACGUGCAGGACAUGCAUAGUGGUCUAGCUAAGAAAGAAAGAAAGAAAGUACAUGUAUUAACAGUGUACUCAUAAUAGACACAGUUACUUGACCACACUGAAAAGUCUAGUUGCCUGUACUGUAUCAUAACUCUACCUAAAAGCAGUGAUCGUGAACCUUCCUAGACUCAAAUCAUCCUUCAGAAAAUGUCAGCUCUGACUUUCCAUUUUGUUUUACUACCAAAAAUCAUAGAGCGGUAUUUUUGCUGCAGAAAUCUCAGAAAAACCACAACAGGUCAAAAUGUUUUAACACUGUGAAUUCCUAUUUGAAAUCUCUGGAUUUAUCUUAUGAAUUGUGUUGGGACACCUAACAGUGCAAAUAUUGUUUGCACCCCACUGGCACACCACAGCACCCUUGAAAGGAUAUAAAGGCACAUGGCACUCUGGCUGAGAAUCUCUGACCUAAAGUCUUGUUACAAGCUCUUCUCAAAUUUGACAAAGUUACAUUAAGUUACGUUAUAGCCUGUUGUAGUGCGUGCUGGAAAGAUCCAUUUUAUGUUUUAGCCAGAAGAUUUUGAAGAAGGCUUGCCACUUUCCAUUUCUGUUAGACUAAAUUGAUUAAGCUAUUAAGUCUGCCAACAGCAUGACUAAGGCUGAAGAGCCAAUGCUUCUGUUUCAGACAUCAGUGACUUAAAAAGCUAUUCCAAGAUCUGGCAUAGCAAUAAAAGUAAGAACACUGACAUUUGAGCUUAAUCAUUAGACAGAUUAAGUAAACUGUCAUGAACAACACUUUCACAGGUAUUUUACAAAUUAACAAAGAAAGGCAAAAUCCAAAGAUCAACCUAAAACAGUUGAACCUUUAUUUGCAUUUCAGGAUUUGCUUUUCAUAUUUAGAAAAGAACUAAGGUACCCAACCACCACACAAAAGGUGACCUAGUUUUUUUUGCUUUUUUUAAAGCAGCACAUAUUCUAGUAAAGGUGCACUGAUACAUCGGUCCGAUACUGGAUCAGCACUGAUAUAAAGAAAAUUGUAUCGGAAAUUGGCUUUUUCUGCUUGAUGUGGCCGAUAAUGUGGCCAAUAAAUGCCCCGUGUAUGCUUACAAUUGCAGCACAGCAAAUAGGCAGCGAGGAGUGCAGCCCAGCAGCUUGGAAAUCUGUGUCCAGCUGGCAAGUCUGUUGUGGUAGAAGGGGAGGGGGGAGGGAAGGGGCAUGGGGGACCCCGUGGUGAGGGAGAGAGUGGGGCUGGGGCAGGGGUGGGGGCAGGCGCUGCCCAGCCAAGUCGAGGCUGGGUGUGGAACACAGUUGAGGUUUGUCUGGGGAGGGGGGGGGGUUGUCCUUCCAUGGCGUGUGCCCCCAGAUCUGCAUGGGGCAGGGCAGGCUGCCGGGGCAGGCUAGGGCAGUGCCGGGCUCUUCCCAGCAGGCGGGGGGGAUUGCAGCAACCCCAAAAUUUGCCAUAGCUCUCCCACCCCUCCUUCCAGUGCCGCGGCCUGCCCCAAGCACAGCCUGACCCAGCCCCCACCAGGAAGACCCUAGCACUUCCCUGUCCCCAGCCAGAAGUGGCAGCCCACCCCACCCUGCACAGAGCUGAGGGCACACGGCCCCCCCACACCCUCCAGGGGUGCGCACAAUGGUGGGAGCAGCCCUCACCCCCCGGGUGCCCUGGAUGAGCUGCAGCUCCAUCCCCCUCCAGCCUCUACCUCAGCCCUACUCCCUCCCUCACUGAGGGGGCCUUGAUUUGUAUCCCCCAACCCCUUCCUUCCCCCCACCCUUCCGCCACAACAGACUUACCAGCCUGACGCUGCUCUUCAAGCUGCCAGGCUGCGUAUCAGAAAUCGGAUCAGUAUCAGCCACUAUACCUCCUUAAAAAUUGGCUAUCAGUAUUGGCUCCAAAAAUCUAUCGGUGCACCCCUAUAUUCUAGACUAACAUGGAAAUGAGCAGUUUAUUUUACAUAUUAUCAACACACAGUAACAGGUCUUGUAUAUUUAUUAUGCUAGAUCUAACUAGCUAAUACACAUUUUACCUUGUUUGCUUCUUUUCAGUGAAGAUUGGAUUUGAGUUUAUAAUAAAAAAUGAUAUUGGGAAACACAGUUCAAUGUCUUCAUCUUCCUUAAUUAGAAGAAAUAAAGUCUUUAAAUGUGCUUUUCUUUUAAUAAAAUCCAGCCACAUCUUAUUUGUAAGGGAGGAAUUGUAGUAAAAAAAUCGCCAAAUUAAAACAGAUUCAUGAAAGGCAGUUGGAUUAGACUGGAAAAAAUUACUUUGCAAAACUUGGAUGGAAUUCAAAUCACACUAUUAACAUGAAACGAACAGCUGGGUUUAACCACAUCUUGUUUGCUGAAGUUAUCCGCCGUAAUUGUGGGCAGACAGGCCCUAAAAUACCUGCAUCUUGGUCCAAUGAAGGCAGAGACUCAAAGAAUGGAAUAUGGGAUAUUCUCUUGGGAUAUAGCCCGUACUUUCUAAAGUAGCAUCGUAGGUCAUAAAUUAUACAGGGCAUAAAAAUCAAAUGUCAAGCAUGAAAGGAUUUUUUUAAAGUCCAUAAAUAAAUAUGGUUACCUCUUUUGAUCUGAGUGGUUUACUACAGUUUCUGUGGUGCCAUUUCUUUUAGGAGAAGAAACUGAUGCAGCUGAUGAUGGGAUGUUUAUCUUUCAUACACACCUGUUUAUUUAGAAAGUAUGUUCAAAGACCUGUUUCUCCGCACAGUAGGGAAAUCAGAUACAAGACAGCUUCUGUGCUCUUCCAACCUUUAUCAUGCACUACACAGCCCAGAAGCUCUUAACUGUUUCUCAGAGCCAUAUUGCCAAUGUUGCUUCUGAUUUUUAUUUAUUAUUUGCAUUGAUGUAGCACUUACAAAAGCUUACUUAUGGACCAGAAAAUCCAUGUACUAGGCUCUCUACAAGCACACCAUAAAGAAGAUCCUUAACUCAGACAGCUUACAAAAUAAGAAAGAUUUUGACUGUCUCAUGCUUCCUUGCUGUUUUCUGUAAGCUACUCAGGUCAUUUCUAUUUUGUUUUGUUUUGUUUUUUUCUCCAGCAGAAACCCAGACAAAAACUAUUCCAGCAAUCAGUGGACUAGUUCUUGCUUUUGCUAUAUUGGUGCCCAAGUAAACCUCUUGGUUCACACACUUAGUUUGCCAUCUACCCCAACCUUACCAGGUACUUCUGUUUUAGUGGUGCUUUUAUUGUGUCAGCUACAUGGUUACACAUCUGAAGCUUAAUUACUUCUUUAUAUUUAUGAAUGAAAGAUAGCUGAUACUUCUACCAACGUCAACAAGCCUUAACUCACCUGUAAUAAUAUACAUCACUUAGACAUACAUUCUUUGUAUUCCAAAGUUAUGAUGGUGAACAAAUAAGGAAUGCUAUAUUUAGAAAUAAUUCAUGAUGUCUGUGUAGUAGCAACAAGAUGAAUGAGAAAGUUUCAUUUCUGCUUGAUAGGAUGGCAUAGAUCAAGCAAGUGUGUGUCUGUGUGUGUGUGUGUGUGUGUGUGUGUGUGUGUGUGUGUGUGUGUGUGUGUGUGUGUGUGUAGUUGUGACAGACUGCACAAAAUUUAACCUCAGCUCAGAUUCCUUCUCUUUUAGCAUGGGUCCUGUAGGAAAAGUUCAUAAAUUGGAGACAGGGGUGCGAUGAAUUUCUGUGCAAAUCUAACAGCAUUAAGCACAUGAAGGUUUGGGACUUAUGUAAUUUACAAACACCCUCUUUCCUUAUGACACAGCAAGCUUAUGCUUAUUUACUAGAACCAUAGAAUUUCUUCCUAUCUAUGGUUUAUGAGUUGCAGGGGAGGCAGUAUUCAGUGCAGGACAAUUGACAGGCUUAUGGGUCAGUAGCUCAUGAUACAAUAGGAAUAGAUGCAAAUACUAUAUACCAUUGGACAAUGGAGAGCUGAGAAUCCCCACACCUACCCCUCCCUUUCAGUAACCUAAUGUUUUUAUAUCUAGCUCUGAUAAGUGCAAAAUAUUAAACUAUAAAUUCUGACA